Molecule: non-coding RNA, 115 nt
Filed under: Fictibacillus enclensis
Lineage: Bacteria; Bacillati; Bacillota; Bacilli; Caryophanales; Fictibacillaceae
Description: SAM-I sequence
Rfam family: SAM riboswitch aptamer (S box leader)
About the family: The SAM riboswitch is found upstream of a number of genes which code for proteins involved in methionine or cysteine biosynthesis in Gram-positive bacteria.
Source: Rfam by way of RNAcentral
UUCUUAUCAAGAGAGGUAGAGGGAAUGGCCCGAUGAAACCUCAGCAACCUUCAGUGAUUUCUGCUGAAAAGGUGCUAAGUCCAGCAAGUUCGAUGACGAACUUGGGAGAUAAGGA